Molecule: long non-coding RNA, 208 nt
Organism: Gadus macrocephalus (Pacific cod)
Lineage: Eukaryota; Metazoa; Chordata; Actinopteri; Gadiformes; Gadidae
Exons: 2
Source: RefSeq, a predicted model, not a curated record
CAAACAGCAGGGGGGCUUGCCUACUUUCCAUUGCUGAGUCACACAGGCCUGGGGCAGUUUUUGGCAUCCAGCUGUGUGCCUCUGUCUGUGCAUGUGUGCAUUAGUGCAUGCGUGUUUGUAUUUGCCUAGUGUGGGCAGGUGUAUAUAUAUGAUUGUGUAAAUAGAUUUCAUGAUUUUUGUGUAUACUUUCAACGGCACACAUACAAAA